AUUUCAUUUCAGGUUCUUUCUGAGACAUGUUUUCAUGGUGUGGGAAUAAGACUUGGUGGUCUUAUACAGCUAAUACAAAGGUUAGCAUCACAGCUUGUCUGUAAGGAUUGAAGCUGGGAGUGGGCAUUGGAGCUGACUUUUAUGAUAACUGUGGCUGCAUAAAAUGGUUGUGUGAUAUAACUGCAACAGUAAAGAAUGUAAUUUAGACUAUUUUUGUGUAUGCUUGAGAAAAUGUUUAUAAUUUUUUUACAAAAAAAAAAAAAAAAAAUAUGUAAAGAUUCUUCAUUUUUAACAAGAUUGGAAGUUGUAGGUUAACUUGUAUUUGACAUUACAAAAAUUCUUUCUAUUUUCCGUUUAUACUCAUGUCUAGUCAAAACAUUUCCAGCAGUUUAAGAAUGGAUAAUCUAAAAGAAAAAGAAAGAAAAAAGAAAAAAAAAAUGUUCAAUUAUUGAAAUGUAUUUUUUUUUUUGCAAAUUGUAAUGUAUAUAUUUUUGCCAUCUUUUUGUUAUUUUAGGAUUUGAGAUACUUUCAAAUUUUACAAGUUACUUUAUACAUGUAGUUAAUGCAAUUAAAUCUGCAGAUGUGAAUAUUCCCACUAAAUUUCUUAGCAAAUUUUAAUUAUUUUUGUUUUUUUUAGCAACAUUUCAAAAUACCUUACCAUAGCAAAUGCCUCUCUAGUGUAAACUAAAAAGAUGAAUAAUGGUCUGCAGUAAAUAUAUCCCCUUACAACCUUUUCUUUCAUGUUAAGAAGUUAGCAAUAUAUUUUUUGCACUUUUUUUGUCAUUUUUUGCUGAUUUUGGUUUGUAACCAAGGUGAUAUUUUUUAAAGAAUAAUUUUACAAAAGGCCAUACCUGUCAACUGACCCGUAUCCUGCGGGUGUGACCCGAGAUUUUCACAACUCUGAGGGGUCACCCGGAACACCCCCCGGGUCAUUAAAUAACCCGGGAAUUCCAAAAAAGGGCCUGUUUUCACCCGGAUUCCUAAUCCUUCAGACUGAUUUCAUAAGUGAUUUUCCUUUGAACAGUGUUGAAAUACGGGCAAAUUUGUAAUUCUCCAUGGACAAGAAGUUCAACUAGCUGUGUAUACUCAAAUUAAGUGACCCAUUUCAGUGCAUGGCUUCACUUGACAGCUUUGGUGUCAAACACACUGUUAAUUAACACCGAUUACCUUAGCUUUAGGUCGUAAAUAAUUUGUGUAUUUCAAAGUUGUUUUAAAAACAAUUUGAGUUACUUCCCCUUUUUUUCACCUUUCACAAUAUACUCUUUAAACUAAUGUUUUUUGGUAAAAAGAUUAAAUCUAAAAUAAAUUGAAUGCA
Molecule: long non-coding RNA, 1315 nt
Organism: Mytilus californianus (California mussel)
Lineage: Eukaryota; Metazoa; Mollusca; Bivalvia; Mytilida; Mytilidae
Exons: 3
Source: RefSeq, a predicted model, not a curated record